CCUUCACCCGGCCGCCGCCUCCUCCGUCCCGGUCUCCGCCGCCGCCCCGGGACCCUCGGCCACGGCUCCCCGGGAAUCGGCUCCCCGCCCCGGGGCUCCCCGCACAAAAGCCGGCGGCCCCUGGGGCCGAACGAGGGGGCGCGCGGUCGAGGCCGGGGCUGGGGAGCCAGCGUGGGGAGCCGUGGGCCCGGAGGAGCGCGGGGCGGGGGCACGCGGGGGAAGGUCCGGCCCCCGGGACCCUCUGAUGGGUUUCCACUCCAGUGAAGGCGCGGGGCGGGCGCGAAGGGGGAGGUGGCGUGCGUCCCUGGCAGGAGGCUGCGAGACCCCAGCUUAACCUUUUAAACUUUUUGCUGGUACCGCACCCCACCGCCUCCUUAGAGUAGGUGGGCGCCGCCCCCGCCCCGACUCCCACCUCCUGGCAGGUAUCCCCGCACACGCCCCCUCGCGCACCCACCCCCUGGUAGGUCCAACCGCCCCGCCUCGUCCCCGCUUUGGCAUCCUCUCCACACAGUCGCUUUCAUCUCGCUCAGCAGAAGCACUCCCCAGUUUCGCGGAGGGCAUGCCCUUAGUGCUUUAGGGGCCUGUAGUUUUAAAGACUCGACAAAUUAGGAAUUUGACCCAGGCCCGCUUCUCCCCGCCCCGGCCCACCUUCUGUUUACUUUGGCCACGUGGGCUGGGAAGAAGGAUUCACGCAGAUCCGAGAGGGCUUUCGCACCAGUGACUCUCCACUUCGCGCUGGAUUCGGUUAAAGACCAGCACUAUUUCCACACAGAAAAAUCCUUGCUUCCUUACCAGAGGAAAAAAAACUAAUAGAACAAGUCCCACAACAUGCUAUUCUGUGUUAGAAAAUUGACUUGAUUGGGCUGGGUACCUGCUGUCUAACUCAAUUGCUCGGUCUCUAAGCCUCAUAGGGUGGAGGCAGCUUCCUGUCUGCUUUGUCCUUUAAAGAGCUGACAACAGGGCUUUCCUGGUGGCGCAGUGGUUAAGAAUCCGCCUGCCAAUGCUGGGGACAUGGGUUCGAGUCCUUGUGCAGGAAGAUCCCACAUGCUGCGGAGCAACUAAGCCCAUGCGCCACAACUACUGAGCCUGCACUCUAGAGCCCGCGAGCCACAACUACUGAAACCCGUGCUCUGCGACAAGAGAAGCCACCGUAAUGAGAAGCCUGCGCACCACAAAGAAGAGUAGCCCCCACUCUCCGCAACUAGAGAAACCCUGCGCGCAGCAACGAAGACCCAACGCAGCCAAAAAUAAAUAAAUAAAUAAAUUUCUAUUAAAAAGAAAAAGAGCUGACAAUA
Lagenorhynchus albirostris (white-beaked dolphin) is the source of this 1295-nucleotide long non-coding RNA. RefSeq lists it as uncharacterized. NCBI's taxonomy places the organism in Eukaryota, Metazoa, Chordata, Mammalia, Artiodactyla, Delphinidae. The record is from RefSeq and is a predicted model, not a curated record. The transcript is spliced from 2 exons.